UUCAGAUCCAACGUUACGUUGCGACUGUGGUAACUCUUAUCGCACACUUAAAAGUCUCACUAUGCACCAACGGUAUUACUGUAAAAAGGAGGCCAAUUAUAUUUGUUCGACAACUGGAUGCUCAUACAAAUCAAAAAAGAAAGAGAAUUUAAAACGACACGUAUUAACUGUACAUAGAGAAAUAAAUUAAUACACUAACCAUAUCAGCACUGUUUUAGCAUUCUUAUUUAGCACCUUACAAUUUCUUAAAAUUAACUACAUUAACAUGCCAUUUAAUGUAUGUCAGUUAUUAAAAAUUUGUGUAUGUCAUUUCAGAUCCAACAUUAUUUUGCGACUGCGGCAGGUCGUACACUUCGUUCAAAAGUUUAACAAUGCACUCAAAAUAUUAUUGUAAAAAGGAAUUGAAGUAUAUAUGUGAAGUACCAUGGUGCACUUAUAAGUCGAAACAAAAGGGAGCUUUAAAAAGUCAUUACUUCCGUAUUCAUAAAAUAAGUCAGUAAACUAUUAUUGAUGUAAUAACGUCUUUUAUUACCCCUUUCGGCAACAGUGUUAGUCUGCUCCAGAAAGAAAUGUUAAGAACAAAAUAUCCUCAUUAUAUUAAAAUAAAUUUAGGUGGUAUUUAACGAGAGUAAUUUUAGAUUCGCUGCGACCUUUCGCAUGUUUCUGUGGCAGAGCAUAUCGGACCAUGUACAAUCUCACAAAACAUCAAAGAUACGAAUGCGGAAAGGAGCCGAGGUUUCAUUGUGUCGAAGAAGGAUGCUCCUAUAAAUCUAAGAGAAAGGAAAACCUUAAACGUCACGUGUUAUGCAUACAUAAACAUAUUAACUAAAUAAAUCGUCCAACUCACUGUUUUCUUCGGAGGAUAUUCGUGUUCCGUUUGUAACAAGUCUUACAAAAAUAAGACGACCCUCAGCAGGCACUUAAAGUACGAAUGCAAGAAGGAGCCGUCUUUCGCAUGUGAUAAGUGUUCGUACAAGUGCAAACAAAAGUAUAACUUAACACUACAUGUUUACAACAAACAUUUAAAGAAAUGCCUUCUUAAUUAUUCAUAAAAAUAUUUAUUUUUUAUUUCUUGUAUCAAGAUGUUUUUUUAUUAAACAAAUUUGAAUUGACAGAGGUUUUUUAUUACUACGUUGCUAUUUGAAUAAAAUAAAUCAGAAUUAUUAUUCUAGUAUGAACUGUAGUUUAUUAUUGCUACAAAUUAACAGAAUCUUUUUUAGAAAACCGUCACAAAUGUCCCAAUUGUAGUAGAAGUUAUAAAUGGAGACGAGGACUGGCACAACACCUGAAAUACGAAUGCGGAAAGGAGCCUCAGUUUUCCUGCCACGAAUGCGACUACAGAACGAAAGUCAAGGGAAAUUUGACGAAUCACAUAAAACACAAACAUGCGGGACACACGAAUGUCAUUUACUUUCAAAAUUAAAUUUUAGUUGUUUUCACAACUUUACUUCAAAAUUCCAUACUCAGUGUGUGUAAUAAAAGGGUGAUUUUAAUUUGA
Long non-coding RNA from Aethina tumida (small hive beetle), 1498 nucleotides. RefSeq lists it as uncharacterized. Lineage: Eukaryota; Metazoa; Arthropoda; Insecta; Coleoptera; Nitidulidae. The transcript has 2 exons. The record is from RefSeq and is a predicted model, not a curated record.